Molecule: transfer RNA, 75 nt
Filed under: Dehalococcoidia bacterium
Lineage: Bacteria; Bacillati; Chloroflexota; Dehalococcoidia
Description: tRNA-Met
Rfam family: tRNA
About the family: Transfer RNA (tRNA) molecules are approximately 80 nucleotides in length.
Source: RNAcentral
CGCGGGGUAGAGCAGUGGUAGCUCGGGCGGCUCAUAACCGCCAGGUCGUGGGUUCGAAUCCCACCCCCGCUACCA